GACUAAACGACAAUUGACCAUCUCCAAUAUGUUCGAUGUAAACCAGCUCUUUUGAGAUUCUUACCCACAUGAUUCUGCUUUCUCUCUAUAGGAUCUUUAGUUUCAGUUUGUCUAAAUCUGCCUUCUUCUUCCUCUGUAAUGCAAAGAGAUGACUCGCUCAAGAGAUGAUGAGACGACACCGUUCUGGACGUGUUUUCUCCAUCUCCUCCUGCUCUCAUCAUUCUUCUUGUUGUCCAUGUCCUUGGAACCCGAUACAGCUCCAGAUACGAAAGACAUCAAUCAAUUCAACUCGCUUCUCCCUCAAGCCUUGAGACUCCAAGUGUCAAAAUAUAGGUGGUGGAUAGACAUAAUUUACAAUCGCUGGUGAUUUCAAAACAUCAGGGUCUGGAACAUUGAAGCAUAACUGAUUGAUUUUGGUGAAACGCAACUGGAGAGAAAAAUUGAUAUUGGCAUAAGGUGCUUACCAUAACAUCAUAGAUGAAACAAAUGAAAGUCCUUUGAAGGAGAGCGUAAGCAGCGAGACCCAUUUCACUGUUGUGACCCAAGAAAGCUUGAGCUACCACUACGCAGCCAAACGACAUCACUCUGAACAAAGACGAUGUUAUGAGCAAGAGAUUUUACCUGAUUGCUUCACACAGUAUUCAACAGGGAGCUUCUCUUAACUAUGUGGCCAUGCCUCUUUAUGUUUCAAAUACAUGGACGGCACCAGAUUGAAAGGUUAGCAUCAGAAUUUCUAAGUAGUUGUGUAAUUGUUUGGGACAGAUUCAAGCACCCCUGCUAUACUUUAUCUUACAAAUCACUCAUUAGGCUAAAAGUAAACAAUUGCGUUCACAAAAUAAAUCUUACUGAAAGUAUGUAAACAAAUAUCAUAUAAAAAAAUACAACACACAAACUCUAUAAUGAAACUGCAAAAAAAAAUUUGGAUAAGAAGUUGAAAUGUUUGUUCAAACCUUGGUAACUCACUUCUAUAUGCGGUGCUUGGAAUCUUACAUAAAAAAUAGAUUUAUCUUUAUAAUGUUAUAAAAGUAAUGGAAAAGUCUAUCUU
This is a long non-coding RNA of Brassica oleracea var. oleracea, 1045 nucleotides long. RefSeq lists it as uncharacterized. The transcript is spliced from 3 exons. NCBI's taxonomy places the organism in Eukaryota, Viridiplantae, Streptophyta, Magnoliopsida, Brassicales, Brassicaceae. The record is from RefSeq and is a predicted model, not a curated record.